GACUCUGGCCGCGGCGAUUCAAUAUAUCCGGAAGCAACUGUCAUGGCUGCUGUCAGUGAGGGCCCGUAAUGGAGAUCGAGUCAAGGGUUGCCCAGGGACACUUAAGAGCCUUCGGCUUCAAGGAGGCCUCUCAAAGGACAAAGGAUGAGACUGCCUGGCGGCAGAGUGCCCCCCACAAUCGUAGGAACUGUGUCGCCGCGCUUCCCGUUAACUUGCCGCUAAGUUUUUCUAGAAAAGUCGCCCUUCUUGCCAGGGGUGUCCUAUAGACUUUGUCAUGGAGUGAAACAGAAACAAAUAUAUGCAUGACUCUUGGCCAGUGAUUCUCAACCUCGGCUGCACAUUGGCAUCAACUGGGGAACCUUCAAAGCUCCUGGCAUGUGGGUUCCACCCUCAGAGAUUGUGAUGUAAUGCACUGACAGUCAAAUUGGGAACAACUGUAAAUUGGCUCAGUUCAUUCAUCUUUUACUGCUGUACAGAAGAUUUCAUUGUAUAAGUACUUCACAACUCAUGUACUGAUUUCUAGUUGAUGAACUGUUUCAAAUUUUUGUUAUUUCAAGCAAUUCUCUAAUGAAUGUUGUUGUACUUGUCUCCCCGUGAAUGUUCCUCUGGGGUAUAUACUGAGAAGUUUGAAUUGGCACAUCAAAGGUUGAGCAUCUUCACCUUUAAAAAAAAAAAAAAAAAAAA
Molecule: long non-coding RNA, 684 nt
Filed under: Homo sapiens (human)
Lineage: Eukaryota; Metazoa; Chordata; Mammalia; Primates; Hominidae
Description: ENTPD1 antisense RNA 1, transcript variant 3 (ENTPD1-AS1)
Source: RNAcentral